AUCGCUUCUUGGCCUUUUGGCUAAGAUCAAGUGUAGCAUUUUAGGUUAGAAUGAAUAUGCACCUAAUUUUUAAUGAAAUUAAAUUCAU
RNAcentral lists this small nuclear RNA (88 nucleotides) under Fukomys damarensis (Damara mole-rat). RNAcentral's name for it is "U2 spliceosomal RNA". It matches the Rfam family "U2 spliceosomal RNA". From Rfam's summary of the family: U2 is a small nuclear RNA (snRNA) component of the spliceosome (involved in pre-mRNA splicing). Complementary binding between U2 snRNA (in an area lying towards the 5' end but 3' to hairpin I) and the branchpoint sequence (BPS) of the intron results the bulging out of an unpaired adenosine, on the BPS, which initiates a nucleophilic attack at the intronic 5' splice site, thus starting the first of two transesterification reactions that mediate splicing. Lineage: Eukaryota; Metazoa; Chordata; Mammalia; Rodentia; Bathyergidae. The record is from Rfam by way of RNAcentral.